GUGGGGAAUAUUGGACAAUGGGCGAAAGCCUGAUCCAGCCAUGCCACGUGUGUGAAGAAGGUCUUCGGAUUGUAAAGCACUUUAAGUUGGGAGGAAGGGCAGUAAGUUAAUACCUUGCUGUUUUGACGUUACCAACAGAAUAAGCACCGACUAACUUCGUGCCAGCAGCCGCGGUAAUACGAAGGGUGCAAGCGUUAAUCGGAAUUACUGGGCGUAAAGCGCGCGUAGGUGGUUCAGCAAGUUGGAUGUGAAAGCCCCGGGCUCAACCUGGGAAUUGCAUCCAAAACUACUGAGCUAGAGUACGGUAGAGGGUGGUGGAAUUUCCUGUGUAGCGGUGAAAUGCGUAGAUAUAGGAAGGAACACCAGUGGCGAAGGCGACCACCUGGACUGAUACUGACACUGAGGUGCGAAAGCGUGGGGAGCAAACAGGAUUAGAAACCCGUGUAGUCC
RNAcentral lists this ribosomal RNA (450 nucleotides) under uncultured bacterium. RNAcentral describes it as "bacterial SSU rRNA". It matches the Rfam family "Bacterial small subunit ribosomal RNA", at positions 354 to 796 of the family's 1533-position model. The record is from RNAcentral.